CGGGCGGCAGCUACACAUGCAAGUCGAGCGGCAGCGACACAUUGAACCUUCGGGGGAUUUGUUGGGCGGCGAGCGGCGGACGGGUGAGUAAUGCCUGGGAAAUUGCCCUGAUGUGGGGGAUAACCAUUGGAAACGAUGGCUAAUACCGCAUGAUAGCUUCGGCUCAAAGAGGGGGACCUUCGGGCCUCUCGCGUCAGGAUAUGCCCAGGUGGGAUUAGCUAGUUGGUGAGGUAAGGGCUCACCAAGGCGACGAUCCCUAGCUGGUCUGAGAGGAUGAUCAGCCACACUGGAACUGAGACACGGUCCAGACUCCUACGGGAGGCAGCAGUGGGGAAUAUUGCACAAUGGGCGCAAGCCUGAUGCAGCCAUGCCGCGUGUAUGAAGAAGGCCUUCGGGUUGUAAAGUACUUUCAGCAGUGAGGAAGGAGGUAUCGUUAAUAGCGGUAUCUUUUGACGUUAGCUGCAGAAGAAGCACCGGCUAACUCCGUGCCAGCAGCCGCGGUAAUACGGAGGGUGCGAGCGUUAAUCGGAAUUACUGGGCGUAAAGCGCAUGCAGGUGGUUUGUUAAGUCAGAUGUGAAAGCCCGGGGCUCAACCUCGGAAUUGCAUUUGAAACUGGCAGGCUAGAGUACUGUAGAGGGGGGUAGAAUUUCAGGUGUAGCGGUGAAAUGCGUAGAGAUCUGAAGGAAUACCGGUGGCGAAGGCGGCCCCCUGGACAGAUACUGACACUCAGAUGCGAAAGCGUGGGGAGCAAACAGGAUUAGAUACCCUGGUAGUCCACGCCGUAAACGAUGUCUACUUGGAGGUUGUGGCCUUGAGCCGUGGCUUUCGGAGCUAACGCGUUAAGUAGACCGCCUGGGGAGUACGGUCGCAAGAUUAAAACUCAAAUGAAUUGACGGGGGCCCGCACAAGCGGUGGAGCAUGUGGUUUAAUUCGAUGCAACGCGAAGAACCUUACCUACUCUUGACAUCCAGAGAACUUAGCAGAGAUGCUUUGGGUGCCUUCGGGAACUCUGAGACAGGUGCUGCAUGGGCUGUCGUCAGCUCGUGUUGGUGAAAUGUUUGGGUAGUCCCGCACGAGCGCAACCUUAUCCUGUUUGCAGCGAGUAUGUCGGGACUCAGGAGACUGGCGUGAUAACGGAGAAGUGGGGACGACGUCAGUCAUCAUGGCCUUACGAGUAGGGGCUAACAAAA
Molecule: ribosomal RNA, 1191 nt
Filed under: Vibrio fluvialis
Lineage: Bacteria; Pseudomonadati; Pseudomonadota; Gammaproteobacteria; Vibrionales; Vibrionaceae
Description: bacterial SSU rRNA
Rfam family: Bacterial small subunit ribosomal RNA
Source: RNAcentral